RNAcentral lists this transfer RNA (72 nucleotides) under Ovis aries (sheep). It matches the Rfam family "tRNA". Rfam says of the family: Transfer RNA (tRNA) molecules are approximately 80 nucleotides in length. Their secondary structure includes four short double-helical elements and three loops (D, anti-codon, and T loops). The record is from Rfam by way of RNAcentral. Lineage: Eukaryota; Metazoa; Chordata; Mammalia; Artiodactyla; Bovidae.
UCCCUGGUGGCUUAGUUGGUAAAGAAUCUGCCUGCAAUGCAGGACCCCCAGGUUUGAUCCCUGGGUUGGGAA